GCUAUAGAGACAUGACUAACAAAACUAAGUAAGUGACCCAGGCCAGAGCAAACUGUGGCCCCAAACCAUUGUCUGGCUUCUACCUGUGGGCUAUUGGUACUGAAGAGGGCUGUAGGGGA
This 119-nucleotide small nucleolar RNA is filed under the name Dipodomys ordii (Ord's kangaroo rat). RNAcentral describes it as "Small nucleolar RNA SNORA42/SNORA80 family (ENSDORG00000020748.2)". Lineage: Eukaryota; Metazoa; Chordata; Mammalia; Rodentia; Heteromyidae. The record is from RNAcentral.